AACGAACGCUGGCGGCGUGGAUAAGACAUGCAAGUCGAGCGCUGACUCAAGGGUAGCAAUAUUCUUGAGUCGGAGCGGCGCAAGGGUGCGUAACACGUGGGUAAUUUGCCAUGAAGUCUGGAAUAACUUGCUGAAAGGUGAGCUAAUGCCGGAUGUGAUUUUUGGAGAGCAUUCUCCGAAACUCAAAGUUGGGGACCGUAAGGCCUGACGCUUCUUGANAAGCCCGCGGCCUAUCAGCUAGUUGGUGAGGUAACGGCUCACCAAGGCUAAGACGGGUAGCUGGUCUGAGAGGACGACCAGCCACACUGGAACUGAGACACGGUCCAGACACCUACGGGUGGCAGCAGUCGAGAAUUUUUCACAAUGGGCGAAAGCCUGAUGGAGCGACGCCGCGUGGGGAGUGAAUGGCUUCGGCCCCGUAAACCCCUGUCAUUGCGAACAAACCUUACCGGUUAACAACCGGUGAGCUGAUUGUAGCGGAAGAGGAAGGGACGGCU
This 497-nucleotide ribosomal RNA is filed under the name uncultured bacterium. RNAcentral's name for it is "bacterial SSU rRNA". It matches the Rfam family "Bacterial small subunit ribosomal RNA", at positions 29 to 498 of the family's 1533-position model. The record is from RNAcentral.